This is a long non-coding RNA of Ictalurus punctatus (channel catfish), 560 nucleotides long. NCBI's taxonomy places the organism in Eukaryota, Metazoa, Chordata, Actinopteri, Siluriformes, Ictaluridae. The record is from Ensembl.
CACCUCAACCCUAGACUGGGGUCGUAACAUAAAUUGGGGACCCUGUAAAGUCAUCUGUGAGGCCCUUGUUGUGGCUGUAUGUAGGUAUUUCCUACCUGUGUGGUGACGUGAGUUCAAGCUCGAAAAUUUCAUGAUGUUGUGGAUCUUGCUGAUACUUUCCUACAGUCUUCUAAUGCUAAUAAAGGUUGCUCUGCCCCAAUUCGACGUGCUGCACCGGGAUUUGAGAGGAGAAGAUUGUGUGUCGAAGACCGAUAUGUCGGGAGGAAUGUGGAUGUGUGGUUUGUCUGUGAUUGUGUGCAUACUAUUGAGUAGCGAAUAUUUUUCCCGGUGUUUGAGUGAGAUCGCUUGCUAGUUUUAUUGUGUGUGAGUGAAAGAAGUGAGUGGUAGGAUCUUGUGUUGUCCCAUUCCCCCGUUUUUGUCUUGUGUUGUGGCUGAGUGUAUGCCUCUAUUAUAAAUAUCAUUAUUAUUAUUAUUAUUAUUAUUAUUAUUAUUAUGGCUAGGUAAUUUAAAUUGAUACGGGACAAGAUAGUGACUGUUCUGUUUAUUAUUUUGGCCUUGCC